AUUGAACGCUGGCGGCAGGCUUUACACAUGCAAGUCGGACGAGUGGCGGACGGGUGAGUAACGUCUCGGAACGUACCUGAUAGAGGGGGAUAACUGUCCGACACGGCAGCUAAUACCGCAUACUAUUCGAGCGGCCGAUGUCGGAUUAGCUUGUUGGCGGGGUAAAGGCCCACCAAGGCGACGAUCAGUAGCGGGUCUGAGAGGAUGAUCCGCCACUCUGGUACUGAGACACGGUCCAGACUCCUACGGGAGUCAGCAGUGGGGAAUUUUGGACAAUGGGCGAAAGCCUGAUCCAGCCAUGCCGCGUGUCUGAAGAAGGCCUUCGGGUUGUAAAGGACUUUUGUCAGGGAAGCGGUACCUGCAGAAGAAGCACCGGCUAACUCCGUGCCAGCAGCCGCGGUAAUAC
This 406-nucleotide ribosomal RNA is filed under the name uncultured bacterium. Its description in RNAcentral is "partial 16S ribosomal RNA". It matches the Rfam family "Bacterial small subunit ribosomal RNA", at positions 30 to 526 of the family's 1533-position model. The record is from RNAcentral.